AAUUCGAUGCAACGCGAAGAACUUACCUACCCUUGACAUGUCCGGAACUUGCCAGAGAUGGCUUGGUGCCCGAAAGGAAUCGGAACACAGGUGCUGCAUGGCUGUCGUCAGCUCGUGUCGUGAGAUGUUGGGUUAAGUCCCGCAACGAGCGCAACCCUUUGUCAUUAAUUGCCAUCAUUCAGUUGGGCACUUUAAUGAGACUGCCGGUGACAAACCGGAGGAAGGUGGGGAUGACGUCAAGUCCUCAUGGCCCUUAUGGGUAGGGCUUCACACGUAAUACAAUGGUCGGUACAGAGGGUUGCCAACCCGCGAGGGGGAGCCAAUCCCAGAAAACCGAUCGUAGUCCGGAUUGCAGUCUGCAACUCGACUGCAUGAAGUCGGAAUCGCUAGUAAUCGCGGAUCAGCAUGUCGCGGUGAAUACGUUCCCGGGCCUU
This 434-nucleotide ribosomal RNA is filed under the name uncultured Thiobacillus sp. RNAcentral's name for it is "bacterial SSU rRNA". It matches the Rfam family "Bacterial small subunit ribosomal RNA", at positions 948 to 1382 of the family's 1533-position model. The record is from RNAcentral. Lineage: Bacteria; Pseudomonadati; Pseudomonadota; Betaproteobacteria; Nitrosomonadales; Thiobacillaceae.